This 576-nucleotide ribosomal RNA is filed under the name Actinomycetales bacterium HRRK054. RNAcentral describes it as "bacterial SSU rRNA". It matches the Rfam family "Bacterial small subunit ribosomal RNA", at positions 102 to 674 of the family's 1533-position model. The record is from RNAcentral. Lineage: Bacteria; Bacillati; Actinomycetota; Actinomycetes; Actinomycetales.
ACGGGUGAGUAACACGUGGGCAAUCUGCCCUUCACUCUGGGACAAGCCCUGGAAACGGGGUCUAAUACCGGAUAUCACUUCCACUCGCAUGGGUGGGGGUUGAAAGCUCCGGCGGUGAAGGAUGAGCCCGCGGCCUAUCAGCUUGUUGGUGAGGUAAUGGCUCACCAAGGCGACGACGGGUAGCCGGCCUGAGAGGGCGACCGGCCACACUGGGACUGAGACACGGCCCAGACUCCUACGGGAGGCAGCAGUGGGGAAUAUUGCACAAUGGGCGAAAGCCUGAUGCAGCGACGCCGCGUGAGGGAUGACGGCCUUCGGGUUGUAAACCUCUUUCAGCAGGGAAGAAGCGAAAGUGACGGUACCUGCAGAAGAAGCGCCGGCUAACUACGUGCCAGCAGCCGCGGGUAAUACGUAGGGCGCAAGCGUUUGUCCCGGGAAUUAUUGGGGCGUAAAGAGCUCGUAGGCGGGUCUGUCACGUCGGAUGUGAAAAGCCCCGGGGGCUUUAACCCCCGGGGUCUGCAUUCCGAUACGGGGCAGACUGAAAGUGUUGGUAGGGGGAGAUCGGGAAUUCCCUGG